AUUGAACGCUGGCGGCAUGCCUUACACAUGCAAGUCGAACGGUAACAGGUCUUCGGAUGCUGACGAGUGGCGAACGGGUGAGUAACACGUAGGUUAUCUACCCUCAAGACGGGGACAACCCAGGGAAACUUGGGCUAAUACCGGAUGUGAGCAACUUUUAGUUGUUUGAAAGGUGGCGUAAGCUGUCGCUUGGGGAUGAGCCUGCGUCCUAUUAGUUAGUUGGUGAGGUAACGGCUCACCUAGGCAAUGAUAGGUAGGCGGCCUUAACGGGUGGUCGCCCACACUGGGAUUGAGAUACGGCCCAGACUCCUACGGGAGGCAGCAGUCGAGAAUAGUCUACAAUGGUCGGAAGACUGAUAGUGCGACGCCGCGUGAACGAUGAAUCCCUUCGGGGUGUAAAGUUCUUUUAUAUGUGAGCAGUGCUUCUUAUAUUAACAGUAUGGGGAGAGAGAUAUUAGCAUAUGAAUAAGCAACGGCUAACUCCGUGCCAGCAGCCGAC
RNAcentral lists this ribosomal RNA (499 nucleotides) under uncultured bacterium. RNAcentral describes it as "bacterial SSU rRNA". It matches the Rfam family "Bacterial small subunit ribosomal RNA", at positions 30 to 518 of the family's 1533-position model. The record is from RNAcentral.